CCUACGGGUGGCAGCAGUGGGGAAUAUUGGGCAAUGGAGGCAACUCUGACCCAGCAAUGCCGCGUGAAUGAAGAAGGUCUUCGGAUUGUAAAGUUCUUUAAUCAGGGACGAAAAAGAUAACGGUACCUGAGGAAUACGCCACUGCCCACUAUGUGCCAGCAGCCGCGGUAAUACAUGGGGGGCAAGCGUUGUCCGGAAUUACUGGGCGUAAAGGGAGCGUAGGCGGUCUGUUAAGUUGGAAGUGAAAUCCCGGGGCUCAACCCCGGAACUGCUUUCAAGACUGACGGACUUGAGUGUAGGAGGGGUAAGCGGAAUUCCUGGUGUAGCGGUGGAAUGCGUAGAUAUUAGGAGGAACACCAGUGGCGAAGGCGGCUUACUGGAUUAUAACUGACGCUGAGGCUCGAAAGCGUGGGUAGCAAACAGGAUUAGAUACCCCGGUAGUC
This 443-nucleotide ribosomal RNA is filed under the name uncultured bacterium. RNAcentral's name for it is "partial 16S ribosomal RNA". It matches the Rfam family "Bacterial small subunit ribosomal RNA", at positions 338 to 795 of the family's 1533-position model. The record is from RNAcentral.